Prinia subflava (tawny-flanked prinia) is the source of this 974-nucleotide long non-coding RNA. RefSeq lists it as uncharacterized. Lineage: Eukaryota; Metazoa; Chordata; Aves; Passeriformes; Cisticolidae. The record is from RefSeq and is a predicted model, not a curated record. The transcript is spliced from 3 exons.
CCCCUGGGUCACACAGAGCACAUGGAUGCAAAAAGCACACAACUUAUUUUCACUGCAGGGAGAACAUAGAAAUGAUCCCCAGGUCUGCAAAUGGAAGGAGCCGGUCCCAUAACAUCUAAGGACACCAGGCUGUCUUACUAAGAUACAGGGCUGAAAACAAAGACAUACAAACCUUGAGCCAUUUAGAAGAGGAAGAAGCCAAAAUCUGUGCCAGAGGUUUGACUGCUGGGUUUACUGAUGGCUUCAGAUCACUGUGAAUCACACGGCACAGAAGUUCAUCUGGUGAUUUGAGAAUUAGCUGCCGUGAUACCAAGCAUGGCUGACCAGAAAUGGAGAUAAGAGGCUGUCGAUUCUAUUCCUCCCUUCAGGCACACAGAAAGCCUGUGAUGAAUGUUUUAGGUUCAGUAACUGUGGCCCAGGGGCCACCAUUUUGAGGGAAGCUCCAAGGCUAGGGCUUAACCCUCAGUCCGGCUGUUGCUUGCCCCAUAAAUACCACAGACCAAUAAAAAUAUCACACAGCAAUUCAUUAAAAACUUCCCAUGAAAGAAAUGUUCUUAACAACAACGAGAAAUCCCCUUUUGGAACUUGCAACACAAAUGUUACUCUGUUAGCACACAAAAUUCAGAGUAAACCUGACUAGAAACUGAAGUUAAAGCCAGACGUCUGCUUCCAUUGUCCAUCAGAGAAAAAUGCCAAGGAACAAGGAAACAGCAGAAUGUGAAAAGCAAAUUGGAUUUUAAAAAGCCUUGCAAGGAUAAGCUUCAGAGGGAUCCUCUAUAAAUCUGACUGCACAAUGUUUAGCAUGCCAGCAUCCAUUCAGGUUAAUUAGACUGGAGUACUGUGCCACAAGCUGUGUGCAUAACCUAAAAUAACAACAAAUAUGUGAGUGGUACCCACAUGUCAUAGGAGAAAAAAUACAAGUGUGGGUGUGAUAGGGCUAGUAGGGUUUGCACCUUCACAGAAAAUAAGGAUGA